AUGGCCACCCGUGUCCGUGUGCAAGCACUAGCUCUUCUUCCCCUGUUCCUUCUCUUCUCCCCUGUGCCCGCAGCUGAUAGCAUCAGCGCAGCCUCUCCCGUCGCCGAUGGCCAGACGCUCGUUUCUGCCGGUGGGGUCUUCGAGCUUGGAUUCUUCACCCCGCCGGCCUCGAUGGCGAGGUUCUUGGGCAUCUGGUACAAGGGUAUCGCUCCUCUUACUGUUGUCUGGGUGGCCAACCGGGAAGCUCCCAUCACCGCCGGCACCACCGCGAGCUUGGCCAUCAACGGCACCGGCAGCCUGGUUCUCGCCGACCAGUCGGGACGCGAGUUCUGGUCGUCGCCGCCGUCAAACGUAACCAGCAGCACCCCGGUGGCCCAGCUCAUGGACAGCGGCAACUUCCUGCUUCAGGACGCCAAUGGCACGGGGCCGGUUCUGUGGCAGAGCUUCGACUACCCGUCCGACACUCUGCUCCCGGGCAUGAAGCUCGGGUGGCACCUCACCACGGGGCUCAACCGGUACCUGACGACGUGGGCGAGCCCCGGCGACCCGUCGCCUGGCGACUACACGUUCGCGAUCGGCAUCCGCGGCGUGCCGGAGGGGUUCAUCAGGUACAACGGCACGGCGCCGGUGUACCGGAACGGGCCGUGGAACGGCCUGCGGUUCAGCGGCGAGCCGGAGAUGGCGCCGGACAACGGCAACUUCCGGUUCGAGUUCGUGGCCAACGGCACCGACGCCUACUACACGUUCCUGGUAGACGGCAGCGGCGGCGACGUGGUCUCGAGGUUCGUGCUGAACCAGUCGAGCCUGCAGCGCUACGUGUGGCUGCAGCAGCAGCAGGCGUGGAGCCUCUACUGGGCGCUGCCCCGGGACCAGUGCGACCGCUACGCGCAGUGCGGCGCCUACGGCGUCUGCGACGCGAGCGCCUCGCCGAUGUGCGGCUGCCCCGCCGGGUUCGCGCCGGCCUCGCCGCGGGAGUGGGCGCUGAGGGACGGCUCGGCCGGGUGCGCGCGCAGGACGCGGCUCAACUGCACCGGGGACGGCUUCCUGCCGCUGCGGGGCGUCAAGCUGCCCGACGCCACGAACGCGACGGCGGACGCCAGCGUCAGCCUCGAUCAGUGCCGGCAGCGGUGCCUGGCGAACUGUUCUUGCCUGGCCUACUCUGCGUCGAGCAUCAAGGGGGGCGAGAGCGGCUGCAUCAUGUGGAGCUCGUCGUUGAUCGACGUCAGGCAGUUUGAUUCCGGCGGGCAGAACCUGUUCGUUCGUCUCGCGGCGUCCGAUUUACCUUCCAAUGGAGACAAUCCCAGCAGGAGAAACACAGCAAUUGCUAUUGGCCUCAGCUUAUCCGGUCUUCUUCUUUUCGGCCUCAGCGUAUUCUUUAUGUGGACUAAGUUCUUCACAAGAAAAGGGAGGUACCAGAGCACACGACGGCUCACCUCAUUCGACUCGAGCAACCCUCUCGCUCCGGUCCAAGACAGGAGCAUGGAAGACGAGUCGAGUCAGAGCAAAGGACUACAUGAUGUCACUCUCUUUGACAUGGCCAUGAUUGCCUCCUCCACCGACAACUUCGCGGCGUCGGCCAAGCUCGGCGAAGGCGGUUUCGGCGCGGUCUACAAGGGUGAGCUUGGGGGAGGGCAGAAGGUGGCGGUGAAACGGCUGUCCAAGUACUCGACGCAGGGGCUGGACGAGUUCAAGAACGAGGUGGUGCUCAUCGCCAAGCUCCAGCACGUGAACCUGGUCAGGCUCUUGGGCUGCUGCGUCCAUGGAGAGGAGAGGAUCUUGGUGUACGAGUACAUGGAGAACAAGAGCCUGGACACGCUGCUCUUCGAUAAGGCUCGAUCGGCGCAACUGGAUUGGUCGAAGCGGUUUGACAUCGUACUGGGCGUCGCACGGGGGCUCCUGUACCUGCACCAGGACUCGAGGUUCAAGGUCAUCCACCGGGACCUCAAGGCCGGCAACGUCCUCCUCGACGGGGACAUGAACCCCAAGAUCUCCGACUUCGGCGUCGCCAGGAUCUUCGGCGGCGACGGCGCCGACUCACACACCCGAAGGGUCGUCGGGACAUACGGGUACAUGUCCCCCGAGUACGCCAUGGACGGCGUCUUCUCGGUCAAGUCCGACGUGUUCAGCUUCGGCGUGCUGGUGCUGGAGAUCGUCAGCGGCAGGAAGAACCGGGGAAUGUGCAGCAGCGGCGAGCAGACGAGCCUGCUCGGCCACGCAUGGAGGCUGUGGAGAGAGGGCAACGCGCUGACGCUGCUAGACGAGGCGAUGGCCAGCGGCGGCGGCGGCCGGGAGUCGGAGGACGUGCUGCGGUGCGUGCAGGUCGGGCUGCUGUGCGUGCAGGAACGGCCGGAGGACCGACCGCACAUGGCCACGGUGUUCCUGAUGCUGGCCAACCUGAGCGUGGUGAUGCCACAGCCGAGGCACCCGGGCUACUGCAGCGACCGGGGAUCGACCUCCACCGACGGCGACUGCUCCUUGAGCUGCACCGCCAAUGAAAUCACCCUCACCGUCGUCGAGGGCCGGUGA
This 2526-nucleotide ribosomal RNA is filed under the name Triticum aestivum (bread wheat). Its description in RNAcentral is "partial small subunit ribosomal RNA". The record is from RNAcentral. Lineage: Eukaryota; Viridiplantae; Streptophyta; Magnoliopsida; Poales; Poaceae.